AAGUGGCUAUGCCGCGACGGG
Molecule: microRNA, 21 nt
Filed under: Drosophila pseudoobscura pseudoobscura
Lineage: Eukaryota; Metazoa; Arthropoda; Insecta; Diptera; Drosophilidae
Description: mir-2535-RA
Source: RNAcentral